GACGAACGCUGGCGGCGUGCUUAACACAUGCAAGUCGAGCGGUAAGGCCCUUUCGGGGGUACACGAGCGGCGAACGGGUGAGUAACACGUGGGUGACCUGCCCUUAGCUCUGGGAUAAGCCUGGGAAACUGGGUCUAAUACCGGAUAUGACUCCAUGACGCAUGUUGUGGGGUGGAAAGCCUUGUGCGGCUAGGGAUGGGCCCGCGGCCUAUCAGCUUGUUGGUGGGGUGAUGGCCUACCAAGGCGACGACGGGGUAGCCGGCCUGAGAGGGCGACCGGCCACACUGGGACUGAGACACGGCCCAGACUCCUACGGGAGGCAGCAGUGGGGAAUCUUGCGCAAUGGGCGAAAGCCUGACGCAGCGACGCCGCGUGA
Molecule: ribosomal RNA, 376 nt
Filed under: uncultured bacterium
Lineage: Bacteria
Description: bacterial SSU rRNA
Rfam family: Bacterial small subunit ribosomal RNA
Source: RNAcentral